AGUGAACGCUGGCGGUAGGCCUAACACAUGCAAGUCGAACGGCAGCACAGUAAGAGCUUGCUCUUACGGGUGGCGAGUGGCGGACGGGUGAGGAAUACAUCGGAAUCUACUUUUUCGUGGGGGAUAACGUAGGGAAACUUACGCUAAUACCGCAUACGACCUACGGGUGAAAGCAGGGGAUCUUCGGACCUUGCGCGAUUGAAUGAGCCGAUGUCGGAUUAGCUAGUUGGCGGGGUAAAGGCCCACCAAGGCGACGAUCCGUAGCUGGUCUGAGAGGAUGGUCAGCCACACUGGAACGGAGACACGGUCCAGACGCCUACGGGAGGCAGCAGUGGGGAAUAGUGGACAAUGGGCGCAAGCCUGAUCCAGCCAUACCGGGUGGGUGAAGAAGGCCUUCGGGUUGUAAAGCCCUUUUGUUGGGAAAGAAAAGCAGCAGGUUAAUACCCCGCUGUUCUGACGGUACCCAAAGAAUAAGCACCGGCUAACUUCGUG
RNAcentral lists this ribosomal RNA (492 nucleotides) under uncultured bacterium. Its description in RNAcentral is "partial 16S ribosomal RNA". It matches the Rfam family "Bacterial small subunit ribosomal RNA", at positions 29 to 507 of the family's 1533-position model. The record is from RNAcentral.